GACGAACGCUGGCGGCGUGCUUAACACAUGCCAGUCGAACGGAAAGGCCCUGCUUUUGUGGGGUGCUCGAGUGGCGAACGGGUGAGUAACACGUGAGUAACCUGCCCUUGACUUUGGGAUAACUUCAGGAAACUGGGGCUAAUACCGGAUAGGAGCUCCUGCUGCAUGGUGGGGGUUGGAAAGUUUCGGCGGUUGGGGAUGGACUCGCGGCUUAUCAGCUUGUUGGUGGGGUAGUGGCUUACCAAGGCUUUGACGGGUAGCCGGCCUGAGAGGGUGACCGGCCACAUUGGGACUGAGAUACGGCCCAGACUCCUACGGGAGGCAGCAGUGGGGAAUAUUGCACAAUGGGCGGAAGCCUGAUGCAGCAACGCCGCGUGCGGGAUGACGGCCUUCGGGUUGUAAACCGCUUUCGCCUGUGACGAAGCGUGAGUGACGGUAAUGGGUAAAGAAGCACCGGCUAACUAC
RNAcentral lists this ribosomal RNA (465 nucleotides) under uncultured bacterium. Its description in RNAcentral is "partial 16S ribosomal RNA". It matches the Rfam family "Bacterial small subunit ribosomal RNA", at positions 28 to 504 of the family's 1533-position model. The record is from RNAcentral.